This 274-nucleotide ribosomal RNA is filed under the name uncultured bacterium. Its description in RNAcentral is "partial 16S ribosomal RNA". It matches the Rfam family "Bacterial small subunit ribosomal RNA", at positions 523 to 796 of the family's 1533-position model. The record is from RNAcentral.
AUACAGAGGGUGCGAGCGUUAAUCGGAAUUACUGGGCGUAAAGGGCACGCAGGUGGAUGUAUAAGUUGGAUGUGAAAGCCAAGGGCUUAACCUUUGGAUGCCAUCCAAAACUGUACAUCUAGAGUAUGGUAGAGGUAAGUGGAAUUUCCGGAGUAGCGGUGAAAUGCGUAGAUAUCGGAAGGAACAUCAGUGGCGAAGGCGGCUUACUGGACUAAUACUGACACUGAGGUGCGAAAGCGUGGGGAGCGAACAGGAUUAGAAACCCCAGUAGUCC